RNAcentral lists this ribosomal RNA (253 nucleotides) under uncultured bacterium. Its description in RNAcentral is "partial 16S ribosomal RNA". It matches the Rfam family "Bacterial small subunit ribosomal RNA", at positions 524 to 776 of the family's 1533-position model. The record is from RNAcentral.
UACGAAGGGGGCUAGCGUUGUUCGGAAUUACUGGGCGUAAAGCGCACGCAGGCGGAUCGAUAAGUCAGGGGUGAAAUCCCGGGGCUCAACCUCGGAAUUGCCUUUGAUACUGUCGAUCUCGAGUCCGGGAGAGGUGAGUGGAAUUCCUAGUGUAGAGGUGAAAUUCGUAGAUAUUAGGAAGAACACCAGUGGCGAAGGCGGCUCACUGGCCCGGUACCGACGCUCAGGUGCGAAAGCGUGGGGAGCAAACAGG